UAAAAAAAGAAAAAGAAAAAGAACUGAGAUAAGAGAAAAGGCAAGAACGAGCGGCGGAAGACGGUUUGCUCCUAAUCUACAUUGAGAAGAGUUGAAGAGCGGCCGGAUCUACAAGAUUGCAGAAGAAUCGAACUUGCUCAAGACGAUUGCACCGCUAUCCACCACUAGAUCUAGAAAAGUUCCCAACAAGAUUGCACAAUUUCAAGAAUGCCCACCGCUUAUUUCUGGGCGGUUGAUUCAAGCAAUUGAUGAGAUGACCCUCUGCAGCCGUGGCUUGAUUUCGAUCAUCCAAAUGGAACCUUAUGUUUUCCUCCAACU
This is a long non-coding RNA of Rosa rugosa (rugosa rose), 318 nucleotides long. RefSeq lists it as uncharacterized. Lineage: Eukaryota; Viridiplantae; Streptophyta; Magnoliopsida; Rosales; Rosaceae. The transcript has 3 exons. The record is from RefSeq and is a predicted model, not a curated record.